UGGGGAAUCUUGCGCAAUGGGCGAAAGCCUGACGCAGCAACGCCGCGUGUGUGAUGAAGGUCUUCGGAUCGUAAAGCACUGUCGCGAGGGAAGAUAUGCCUCCAAAUAACAAGUGGAGGUUAAGACGGUACCUCGAGAGGAAGCACCGGCUAACUCUGUGCCAGCAGCCGCGGUAAUACAGAGGGUGCGAGCGUUGUUCGGAAUUAUUGGGCGUAAAGCGCUUGUAGGCGGCCUGUCAAGUCUCGUGUGAAAUCCCCAGGCUUAACCUGGGAAGUGCGCGGGAAACUGGCGGGCUUGAGUGCCGGAGAGGGUCGCGGAAUUCCCGGUGUAGAGGUGAAAUUCGUAGAUAUCGGGAGGAACACCAGUGGCGAAGGCGGCGACCUGGACGGACACUGACGCUGAGACGCGAAAGCGUGGGGAGCAAACAGGAUUAGAUACCCCUGUAGUCC
Molecule: ribosomal RNA, 449 nt
Filed under: uncultured bacterium
Lineage: Bacteria
Description: bacterial SSU rRNA
Rfam family: Bacterial small subunit ribosomal RNA
Source: RNAcentral